Molecule: ribosomal RNA, 257 nt
Filed under: uncultured bacterium
Lineage: Bacteria
Description: partial 16S ribosomal RNA
Rfam family: Bacterial small subunit ribosomal RNA
Source: RNAcentral
UACAGAGACCUCAAGCGUUAUCCGGAAUCAUUGGGCGUAAAGCGUACCGAUAGGUGGUUAUACAAGUCAGAAGUGAAAUCUCCGAGCUCAACUCGGAAUCUGUCUUUUGAAACUGUAUGACUAGAGGGGCAAAGAGGAAGCUGGAACGAACGGUGUAGUAGUGAAAUGCGUUGAUAUCGUUCGGAACACCGAUAGCGAAGGCAGGCUUCUGGGUGCCACCUGACACUGCUAGGACGAAAGCGUGGGGAGCGAAUGGG